GACGAACGCUGGCGGCGUGCUUAACACAUGCAAGUCGAACGGAAAGGCCCUGCUUUUGUGGGGUGCUCGAGUGGCGAACGGGUGAGUAACACGUGAGUAACCUGCCCUUGACUUUGGGAUAACUUCAGGAAACUGGGGCUAAUACCGGAUAGGAGCUCCUGCUGCAUGGUGGGGGUUGGAAAGUUUCGGCGGUUGGGGAUGGACUCGCGGCUUAUCAGCUUGUUGGUGGGGUAGUGGCUUACCAAGGCUUUGACGGGUAGCCGGCCUGAGAGGGUGACCGGCCACAUUGGGACUGAGAUACGGCCCAGACUCCUACGGGAGGCAGCAGUGGGGAAUAUUGCACAAUGGGCGGAAGCCUGGUGCAGCAACGCCGCGUGCGGGAUGACGGCCCUCGGGUUGUAAACCGCUUUCGCCUGUGACGAAGCGUGAGUGACGGUAAUGGGUAAAGAAGCACCGGCUAACUACGUG
Molecule: ribosomal RNA, 468 nt
Filed under: uncultured bacterium
Lineage: Bacteria
Description: partial 16S ribosomal RNA
Rfam family: Bacterial small subunit ribosomal RNA
Source: RNAcentral